Molecule: ribosomal RNA, 254 nt
Filed under: uncultured bacterium
Lineage: Bacteria
Description: partial 16S ribosomal RNA
Rfam family: Bacterial small subunit ribosomal RNA
Source: RNAcentral
UACGAAGGGGGCUAGCGUUGCUCGGAAUCACUGGGCGUAAAGGGUGCGUAGGCGGGUCUUUAAGUCAGGGGUGAAAUCCUGGAGCUCAACUCCAGAACUGCCUUUGAUACUGAGGAUCUUGGGUACGGGAGAGGUGAGUGGAAUUCCGAGUGUAGAGGUGAAAUUCGUAGAUAUUCGGAAGAACACCGGCGGCGAAGGCGGCCAACAUGGCGAAAUACUGACGCUGAGACUCGAAAGCGUGGGGAGCAAACAGG